CCUACGGGGGGCUGCAGUGAGGAAUAUUGGUCAAUGGGCGAGAGCCUGAACCAGCCAAGUCGCGUGAGGGAGUACUGCCCUAUGGGUUGUCAACCUCUUUUGUCGGGGAGCAAAAGCCGGACGUGUCCGGCUGUGAGAGUACCCGAAGAAAAAGCAUCGGCUAACUCCGUGCCAGCAGCCGCGGUACUACUGAGGAUGCGAGCGUUAUCCGGAUUUAUUGGGUUUAAAGGGUGCGCAGGCGGAUUUUUAAGUCAGCGGUCAAAUCUUGGGGCUCAACCCCAUCCAGCCGUUGAAACUGGGGAUCUAGAGUGUGCGAGAGGUAGGCGGAAUGCGUGGUGUAGCGGUGAAAUGCAUAGAUAUCACGCAGAACCCCGAUGGCGAAGGCAGCAUACCGGUGCACAACUGACGCUCAGGCACGAAAGCGUGGGUAGCGAACAGGAUUAGAUACCCUGGUAGUC
This 458-nucleotide ribosomal RNA is filed under the name uncultured bacterium. RNAcentral's name for it is "partial 16S ribosomal RNA". It matches the Rfam family "Bacterial small subunit ribosomal RNA", at positions 338 to 795 of the family's 1533-position model. The record is from RNAcentral.